GGAUGCGAUCAUACCAGCACUAAAGCACCGGAUCCCAUCAGAACUCCGAAGUUAAGUGCUUGGGCGAGAGUAGUACUAGGAUGGGUGACCUCCUGGGAAGUCCUCGUGUUGCAUCCC
Molecule: ribosomal RNA, 117 nt
Filed under: Oryza sativa Indica Group (long-grained rice)
Lineage: Eukaryota; Viridiplantae; Streptophyta; Magnoliopsida; Poales; Poaceae
Source: RNAcentral